This is a long non-coding RNA of Vitis riparia (riverbank grape), 1796 nucleotides long. RefSeq lists it as uncharacterized. The transcript has 4 exons. NCBI's taxonomy places the organism in Eukaryota, Viridiplantae, Streptophyta, Magnoliopsida, Vitales, Vitaceae. The record is from RefSeq and is a predicted model, not a curated record.
UUUCACUCAACAUGUCAGUUUGGGUUUGACUUCUUCUGUCCUGGUAGUCUGGAAUAGUACAAUGCUUCAUGCGGAAGAUGACACCCUUACAUCCUAAAAAAUGUGUUGCUUCUUUAUGUAGCAUCUUUUUUUUUUUCUUUUUUUCUUUUAAUCUUGUGGAAGCCAUAUAGCUUUAUCCCCUAUUUUGUGUAACCUUGAAGAAAUUACAUCUUUUGUUAGCAUGCACUGUGACAUCAUUUCAGUAAUUUUAUAUGGUUUUAUAAUAAUAAAUAAAUAAGUUUCCCUUAUAGCCCCUCUAUAUUUUAAUGAAAUGCAUUCUAUAAUGUCAUCCUAGCAAUUUUACCUUUAUAUACAUACAGAGGUUUCAGGCAAUUAUUUAGUACUUGAGGUUUUAGGCAAUUGUUUGCUACUCUGGUUAGCUGCUGUCUCAUCAGAUUUGAAGGAAUUGUUCAUGGUUUUCAAUUGGCUUGUGGCAUCCUUGAUGCUACCCUUUCUGGGAGGUUUGAAGAUCAAGAUCCACCAAGUUCUUUCACUCCUAUUGAUGGUUUACAGCUGGUGCCAUUUAGAGCUUUCUAUUUUUAGUGGGCAAGUUUGUGUUGCGCUGUUAUCUUUUGAGUUGAUGAAUAAGUUACAAACGGUCUGUACUUUUCUCACCAGAACAAAGGAAUACACUUAACCGAUGUCCACGAGUAAUGAUAUACACCUGAUGCAAAGUUCUAGUUGGCAAUCUCCACCUCCUAAGAUCUCAUGGAAAGUUUUUGCAUCUCGGCUUUAGUCUUCGUGAUGAUCUUGAGGAGCCAAAGCCUGUAUCUGUAUACUUGCACUGAGGUUUGAGCCUUAGACUGAUCACUGGUGCAAUCAUUUCAGACUUGGCCAGCUGAGAUGACAGAAAGCAAUUCAUCGCAUGGAAGGAUCGAGCUCAGACUGUUGUUGGAUGGAUUUUGUUGGAAAUCUUCAAGAGCUGUGCAUGUGUCACUCGAGAAACUGAAAACUGAUUAGGAGGCAAUGCACAAACCUGAGAGGGCAAUGACAGCAACCAGGUUCAAGGAAAUGGUCACAGUAGUGAUUAUAUACACUAUCUUCAGGCCCUUGUCAAUCAACCGCCUAUUCUUCCUAGCUUGUCUCUCUAUACCUGCAGCUUCAACAUCGAGUUUAUCUGAUGUGGAGAUGGUUCCCGAUGCCUUAUUCGCUGUUUCCAUGAUGAUAUCCACCACCGUUCGAGCUCUGGAAUGGAAUUUCGCAUUCCCUCCAAGAACCAAUCCGGACGCCACUCUGCAAACAAAUCAGGAUCAUAGAUCAUAAGCAGCCAAUGAUUUAUUCCUAAUCAACAUCUAAUGUAUAUCUCCAUCCCCAUAUGUAACUUCAUUCAGAUUUAUUCAAAGAAAUACUUCACUAGAAGUUACAGCUGUGACAAAGAAUUAUACUUUGGUAUUUACUUACAUUGCCAGAAUUGUGAAGAAUGAAGCCAGGAGGAUAUGCCAUAGAUAACACUGCUUGUAGCAGGGUGAUCUCUUCUUCUUCAGCUUUCUCUUGUCCCUUUUACACCAGAUGGUGGUUAUCAGCAGAAAUCCUCCAUAUCCAACACCACACAGAAGCCACACAACUCCAAUGGCAUACCCCGGAACGCCCGUAAAUAUGGUUGACUGUACAAAAUACCGAAUCAGUGAACACUUCUCAUGCAAUUGAAUUCAGUGUUUGUAAUGCAAAUGAUAUAUGAUAACUUUUACACCAAAGCCAUUUAGAACUAAAAAUUUUCUGGGGUUAGGGUGUUACACUCCAGUAAUGCUUGUUUGUGA